CAAGUCGAACGGCAGCACGGACUUAUCUGGUGGCGAGUGGCGAACGGGUGAGUAAUGUAUCGGAACGUGCCUAGUAGCGGGGAUAACUACGCGAAAGCGUAGCUAAUACCGCAUACGUACUGGGGAAAGCGGGGGGACCUUCGGCUCUCGCACUAGAGCGGCCGAUCAGAGAUUAGCUAGUUGGUGGGGAAAAUGGCUCAUCAGCGACGAUCCGUAGCUGGAGAGGACGACCAGCCACACUGGGACUGGAGACGGGCUCAGAUCACGGGAGGCAGCAGUGGGGAAUUUUGGACAAUGGGGAAAACCGAUCCAGCCAUCCCGCGUGUGCGAUGAAGGCCUCGCUGUAAAGCACUUUUGGCAGGAGCAAUGGCAAUGGGAUAAUACCCCGUGCAACUGACGGUACCUGCAGAAUAGCACCGGCUAACCAUGUGCCAGCAGCUGCGGCAUACGUAGGUGCAAGCGGGCACUGGAAUUACAUUAAGCAGGCGGUUCGGAAAGAAAGAUGUGAAAUCCCAGAGCUAACUUCGGAACUACAUUUUUAACUACCGAGCUAGAGGUCAGGAGGGAGGUGGAAUUCCGCGUGUAGCAGUGAAAUGUGAUAGCAGAGGAACACCGAUGGCGAAGGCAGCUUCUGAUACGACGACGUUUGAUGCGUAACAGCGUGGAGCAAACAGGACAGAUACCCUGGUAGUCCACGCUCCUAAAAACGAUGUCAACUAGCUGUUGGGGCCUCUCGGGCCUGGCAGCGCAGCUAACGCGUGAAGUUGACCGCCUGGGGAGUACGGUCGCAAGAUUAAAACCUCAAAGGAAUUGACGGGACCCGCACAAGCGGUGGAUGAUGUGGAUUAAUUCGAUGCAACGCGAAAACCUUACCUACCCUUGACAUGCUGAAUCCCGAAGAGAUUUGGGAGUGUUGCAAGAGAACCGAACACAGGUACAUGGCUGUCGUCAGCUCGUGUCGUGAGAUGUUGGGUUAAGUCCCGCAACGAGCGUAACCCUUGUCAUUAUUGGCUACGAAAGGGCACCUGACGAGACUGCCGCACAACCGAGGAAGGUGGGGAUGACGUCAAGUCCUCAUGGCUCCGCAUGGCUUCACACGUCAUACAAUGGUCGGGACAGAGGGUCGCCAACCCGCGAGGGGAGCCAAUCCCAGAAACCCGAUCGUAGUCCGGAUCGCAGUCUGCAACUCGGACUGCGCAGUCGGAAUCGCUAGUAAUCGCGGAUCACAUGUCGCGGCAAUGAUGUUCCUGGCCUGGUGGGCGACACCGCCCGUCACACCAUGGGGAGUGGGUUUUACCAGAAGUAGUUAGCCUAACCGUGGGCGUGGCGAUUACCACGGUAGGAUUCAAGGACUGGUGGCGUCAACAAGGU
This 1371-nucleotide ribosomal RNA is filed under the name uncultured Bordetella sp. Its description in RNAcentral is "partial 16S-23S ribosomal RNA intergenic spacer". It matches the Rfam family "Bacterial small subunit ribosomal RNA". The record is from RNAcentral. Lineage: Bacteria; Pseudomonadati; Pseudomonadota; Betaproteobacteria; Burkholderiales; Alcaligenaceae.